GACGAACGCUGGCGGCGUGCUUAACACAUGCAAGUCGAGCGGUAAGGCCCUUUCGGGGGUACGACGAGCGGCGAACGGGUGAGUAACACGUGGGUGACCUGCCCUCAGCUCUGGGAUAAGCCUGGGAAACCGGGUCUAAUACUGGAUAUGACUCCAUGACGCAUGUUGUGGGGUGGAAAGCCUUGUGCGGCUGAGGAUGGGCCCGCGGCCUAUCAGCUUGUUGGUGGGGUGANGGCCUACCAAGGCGACGACGGGUAGCCGGCCUGAGAGGCGACCGGCCACACUGGGACUGAGACACGGCCCAGACUCCUACGGGAGGCAGCAGUGGGGAAUCUUGCGCAAUGGGCGAAAGCCUGACGCAGCGAC
Molecule: ribosomal RNA, 366 nt
Filed under: uncultured bacterium
Lineage: Bacteria
Description: bacterial SSU rRNA
Rfam family: Bacterial small subunit ribosomal RNA
Source: RNAcentral